AACGAACGCUGGCGGCAGGCCUAACACAUGCAAGUCGAGCGCCCUUUCGGGGGAGCGGCGGACGGGUGAGUAACGCGUGGGAAUAUGCCCUUCUCUACGGAAUAGCCUCGGGAAACUGAGAGUAAUACCGUAUACGCCCUGUGGGGGAAAGAUUUAUCGGGGAAGGAUUAGCCCGCGUUGGAUUAGGUAGUUGGUGGGGUAAUGGCCUACCAAGCCGACGAUCCAUAGCUGGUUUGAGAGGAUGAUCAGCCACACUGGGACUGAGACACGGCCCAGACUCCUACGGGAGGCAGCAGUGGGGAAUCUGAGACAAUGGGGGCAACCCUGAUCUAGCCAUGCCGCGUGAGUGAAGAAGGCCUUAGGGUUGUAAAGCUCUUUCAGCUGGGAAGAUAAUGACGGUACCAGCAGAAGAAGCCCCGGCUAACUCCGUG
This 431-nucleotide ribosomal RNA is filed under the name uncultured bacterium. Its description in RNAcentral is "partial 16S ribosomal RNA". It matches the Rfam family "Bacterial small subunit ribosomal RNA", at positions 29 to 507 of the family's 1533-position model. The record is from RNAcentral.